GUAGUCCACGCCGUAAACGUUGGGCGCUAGGUGUGGGCCUCAUUCCACGAGGUCCGUGCCGCAGCUAACGCAUUAAGCGCCCCGCCUGGGGAGUACGGCCGCAAGGCUAAAACUCAAAGAAAUUGACGGGGGCCCGCACAAGCAGCGGAGCAUGUGGCUUAAUUCGAUGCAACGCGAAGAACCUUACCUGGGCUUGACAUGCAAGGAAAUCUCACAGAGAUGUGAGGUCCGUAAGGGCCUUGCACAGGUGGUGCAUGGCUGUCGUCAGCUCGUGUCGUGAGAUGUUGGGUUAAG
This 294-nucleotide ribosomal RNA is filed under the name uncultured bacterium. RNAcentral's name for it is "partial 16S ribosomal RNA". It matches the Rfam family "Bacterial small subunit ribosomal RNA", at positions 790 to 1084 of the family's 1533-position model. The record is from RNAcentral.